Molecule: ribosomal RNA, 648 nt
Filed under: uncultured marine eukaryote
Lineage: Eukaryota
Description: SSU rRNA
Rfam family: Eukaryotic small subunit ribosomal RNA
Source: RNAcentral
GGUUAAAAAGCUCGUAGUUGGAUCUCGGCAAGUAGAGGGCGGUAUGCUUCGUAGCAUUACUGCCCUAUUACUUGUAGUUUUGCCAGAGGUUCCUGGGUGCUCUUAAUCGAGUGUCUAGGGAUGCUGGCAGGUUUACUUUGAAAAAAUUAGAGUGCUCAAAGCAGGCUAUUACGCUUGAAUAUUCGUGCAUGGAAUAAUAGAAUAGGAAGUUGUUUCUAUUUUGUUGGUUUUCGGAAAUCGACUUAAUGAUUAAUAGGGACAGUCGGGGGCAUUUGUAUUCAAACGACAGAGGUGAAAUUCUUGGACCGUUUGAAGACAAACUACUGCGAAAGCAUUUGCCAAGAAUGUUUUCAUUAAUCAAGAACGAAAGUUAGAGGUUCGAAGGCGAUUAGAUACCGCCCUAGUUCUAACCAUAAACGAUGCCAGCUAGCGAUCUGAGGACGUUUUUCUUGUAGACUCCUCAGGAAGCUUCCGGGAAACCAAAGCGUGUGGGUUCCGGGGGAAGUAUGGUUGCAAAGCUGAAACUUAAAGGAAUUGACGGAAGGGCACCACCAGGAGUGGAGCCUGCGGCUUAAUUUGACUCAACACGGGAAAUCUCACCAGGCCCGGACACUGGAAGGAUUGACAGAUUGAGAGCUCUUUCUCGAU